GAGGCUGUGGCUCAGUGGUAGAGCAUUCGCCUAGCUUGUGUAAGGAACUGGAUUCGAUCCUCAGCACCACA
Molecule: transfer RNA, 71 nt
Filed under: Marmota monax (woodchuck)
Lineage: Eukaryota; Metazoa; Chordata; Mammalia; Rodentia; Sciuridae
Description: tRNA.Ala
Source: RNAcentral